This 484-nucleotide long non-coding RNA is filed under the name Pan troglodytes (chimpanzee). RNAcentral's name for it is "long non-coding RNA NONPTRT008132". Lineage: Eukaryota; Metazoa; Chordata; Mammalia; Primates; Hominidae. The record is from RNAcentral.
CACACACACUCACUAGAAGUUUGUAUGGGUGGACAGGAACGUUUGUGGUCAGCACCAUAAUGUUCAGGGAGCCAGGAGACAGCCUGGCUGAGAUACUGACUACCUAGCUUGACUCCUGACCCUGCCACGUGCUAGUCAUGUGACCUCAGGCCAGCGAUUCCACUUCUCCAGGCCUCAGUCCAUUUCUUUAUAGAGAUGUGUUUCUGUCUCUCUUUUGGGGGUAUUGAGCACCUAGAUGAUGCUAUCUCUUUUCGAAACUCUUGUUCCCUCCUUGUGACUGUUUCUCAAGGUCUUUCUUCAUGGCUGUGACUUGGUUUCGCUCUCUCCGUGGCCUUGAUUUUGUCGCCUGUGUCUUGUAACUCAUUGUGCAUGUAGAAAAUCCAAGUGUCUACUAAGCAACUGUUAGGAUUAAUAAGUGAACUUAAAUUUAGAAAGAUCGCUGGAUAUAAAGGCAAUAUGGAAAAAAUUAGUUUUAUUUAUUUAU